GAUCGAGGGAGCUUGCUCCCUGAGAUUAGCGGCGGACGGGUGAGUAACACGUGGGCAACCUGCCUAUAAGACUGGGAUAACUUCGGGAAACCGGAGCUAAUACCGGAUACGUUCUUUUCUCGCAUGAGAGAAGAUGGAAAGACGGUUUACGCUGUCACUUAUAGAUGGGCCCGCGGCGCAUUAGCUAGUUGGUGAGGUAAUGGCUCACCAAGGCGACGAUGCGUAGCCGACCUGAGAGGGUGAUCGGCCACACUGGGACUGAGACACGGCCCAGACUCCUACGGGAGGCAGCAGUAGGGAAUCUUCCGCAAUGGACGAAAGUCUGACGGAGCAACGCCGCGUGAACGAAGAAGGCCUUCGGGUCGUAAAGUUCUGUUGUUAGGGAAGAACAAGUACCAGAGUAACUGCUGGUACCUUGACGGUACCUAACCAGAAAGCCACGGCUAACUACGUGCCAGCAGCCGCGGUAAUACGUAGGUGGCAAGCGUUGUCCGGAAUUAUUGGGCGUAAAGCGCGCGCAGGUGGUUCCUUAAGUCUGAUGUGAAAGCCCACGGCUCAACCGUGGAGGGUCAUUGGAAACUGGGGAACUUGAGUGCAGAAGAGGAAAGUGGAAUUCCAAGUGUAGCGGUGAAAUGCGUAGAGAUUUGGAGGAACACCAGUGGC
Molecule: ribosomal RNA, 663 nt
Filed under: Bacillus sp. FJAT-4485
Lineage: Bacteria; Bacillati; Bacillota; Bacilli; Caryophanales; Bacillaceae
Description: bacterial SSU rRNA
Rfam family: Bacterial small subunit ribosomal RNA
Source: RNAcentral